GGGCUUGUCAUAAGUGGCCAUGGCUGCUUCUUUGAGUGCCUCACUCAUAGUUGGAUGUGCAUGACAAGUACGAGCAAUGUCCUCACUUGAUGCUCCGUACUGCAAUGCCAGUACAGCUUCAUGAAUAAGCUCCCCUGCGUUAGGUGACAUAAUAUGGACGCCCAAUAUCUUGUCACUCUCUUUCUCAGCAAUUACCUUGACAAUUCCCUCGGCAUCAUCAAUUGCCUUGGCUCUACUGUUAGCUAGGAAGGGGAAUUUGCCAACACGAUAAUCAACUCCGAGUGACUUUACCUGUUCCUCGGUUUUCCCAACAUAAGCCACCUCCGGGUGGGUGUAAACAACACCAGGUACCAUAUCAUAGUCUACAUGACCCUCCUUGCCUGCAAUGAACUCUACGCAAGCAACGCCAUCCUCCUCUGCCUUGUGAGCCAACAUUGGUCCAGGAAUGACAUCACCAAUUGCAUGUACCCCUGGGACGUUUGUGGCAAAACGUUCAUUGACCAAGA
Molecule: unclassified non-coding RNA, 506 nt
Filed under: Hevea brasiliensis (rubber tree)
Lineage: Eukaryota; Viridiplantae; Streptophyta; Magnoliopsida; Malpighiales; Euphorbiaceae
Source: RNAcentral